CUUUAAGAUUGCUUGCCCAUGUCUGUAUUUGUACUUCACUGAUCUGUAACUAUAUUCCCUAUGUGCAAUGUCGACAGGUAAAAGUGCAGAGUUAAAAGCAUUCGUGUGUUUCUAACCGCCAGAGUUCAGCUGGGAUAUCCACGAACAGUGAAUCUCAACACUGUUCGUGAAAACAGCAAAGUACCGAAUGAGAGACCACCCCAGCAGGUCGUG
Molecule: non-coding RNA, 213 nt
Organism: Pelobates cultripes (western spadefoot toad)
Lineage: Eukaryota; Metazoa; Chordata; Amphibia; Anura; Pelobatidae
Source: the annotation of a GenBank genome assembly